AUUGAGAAACCUCCUUUGGGGUAUUAGUCCUGGAGACAGGGCGACAUUGUCAAAUUGUUCGGGGACCACCUGUUAAAUUAUAUGCUACUGCAGCAGUGCUGAAAGGCCUGUGAGCACUGAGGGUAACGCCCUCAGGGAUGGUAAUAACGCAUAUAUAGGGUAUAUCCGCAGCGAAGUUCUAAGGCUUUCGAGCUAUGAAUCGCGUUCACAGACUAGACGGCAAUGGGCUCCUCGCGGGGCUUAAGAUAUAGUCGAACCCCUCAGAGAUGAGGAU
Molecule: intron RNA, 274 nt
Organism: Sclerotinia sclerotiorum
Lineage: Eukaryota; Fungi; Ascomycota; Leotiomycetes; Helotiales; Sclerotiniaceae
Rfam family: Group I catalytic intron
About the family: Group I catalytic introns are large self-splicing ribozymes. They catalyse their own excision from mRNA, tRNA and rRNA precursors in a wide range of organisms. The core secondary structure consists of 9 paired regions (P1-P9).
Source: Rfam